This 214-nucleotide unclassified non-coding RNA is filed under the name uncultured fungus. RNAcentral's name for it is "sequence contains ITS1, 5.8S rRNA gene". The stretch from base 166 to 214 matches the Rfam family "5.8S ribosomal RNA", at positions 1 to 49 of the family's 154-position model. Lineage: Eukaryota; Fungi. The record is from RNAcentral.
UCUCCGUUGGUGAACCAGCGGAGGGAUCAUUACAGAGUCGUAAAACACUCCCAAACCCAUGUGAACUUACCUAUGUUGCCUCGGCGGGCUACCCUGUAGACCGCCGGUGGACCAUUAAACUCUUGUUAUUCUAUGGAUAUCUGAGCGUCUUAUUUAAUAAGUUAAAACUUUCAACAACGGAUCUCUUGGUUCUGGCAUCGAUGAAGAACGCAGC